This 965-nucleotide long non-coding RNA is filed under the name Amborella trichopoda. RNAcentral's name for it is "long non-coding RNA (ATRI_LNC003233)". The record is from RNAcentral. Lineage: Eukaryota; Viridiplantae; Streptophyta; Magnoliopsida; Amborellales; Amborellaceae.
CAGUGUGUUGCCUGCCUCAUGUUUGAAGCUGAACGGAAGGACCUCUUCACAGAGAUGCUAGGUUUGAAAUCAAGGGCAGUGACAACACCCAUGUCUCAAAUGACCAAAUUACCCCUCAAACCGCAGUCGUCUCCAUUUCUGAGACCUUCGGUGGGUUGCCCCUAAAACACUUAGAGCAUUUUUUUUUUAAAAAAUUACUCUUUAUUUGAGCUAAGCACAUCAAAAUAGCACUUUAAUUUUGUUUCACAAAAUAAUUGUGCAAGGGCUUCAAACCAUUGUUCGAAAACUAGGUCCGAGGUAUCGGUACAAAGUCGGCCGAGUCUGUAAGAAGAUAGAAUACCAAAGUGUAGGAACACCCCAGUUUGGUUAGUUCACACUCAGACUUGCCACAUUGCCGAGUCCGAGUAACUCGGCCGAGUUUUAGAACUCUGCUUCAACAAGAAUUCUAUCACAUUAAACAUACAAAAAGAAACCUCGUGUAGGACUUACGUGAAAAAUGGAGAUUUGCCAGUCUUGAUGAUGCUCUGAUAAAGAUAUAGCUUGGCGCUGAAGGCUUUAAGGGGGAGAAAAGCCAAAACCCCAUUUUGAAAUUAAGCCUGGAAUUGCAGGUUUUCUAUGGGAAAUGUUAGAGAGAGAAAGUCAGCUCUUUUUUCUUUUCGGUGAAAGUGGGUGGGAGAGAAAGGGGCUUUCAUUUGAUGAGAGAGAGAGAGCGAGAGAUCUUUAGUUGCAGGAAUCCUGAGAAUUUGCAGUGCUUUUUGGUGUUCUAAUCAUGACACAUGUUGGGGGCGUGAAAGCCAUUCCCCCUUAAAGAAACCAUACUUUUAAACUUUAAAUUCAUAGUAAAACAUUCCAUCAAAGAGUAAGAUAAUAGGAGAAGACAUUCUUCUUCAUUUUCUCUUAGGUAUUGUACAAAAAAUUCCCUCUUUUCUUUCAAAUGAGUCAAUAGCCAAAUGGCAACUAGAAUA